ACGGAGGAUGCGAGCGUUAUCCGGAUUCAUUGGGUUUAAAGGGUGCGUAGGCGGACUAUUAAGUCAGUGGUGAAAGAGGGCAGCGAAACUGCAGAACUGCCAUUGAUACUGAUAGCCUUGAGUUUGGUUAAGGUAGGCGGAAUGUGUAAUGAGGCGGGGAAAUGCUUAGACAUUGCACAUAACACCAAUUGGGUAGGCAGUUUAAUGAGCCGACACUGACACUGAGGCACGAAAGCGUGGGGAUCGAACAG
Molecule: ribosomal RNA, 251 nt
Filed under: uncultured prokaryote
Description: partial 16S rRNA
Rfam family: Bacterial small subunit ribosomal RNA
Source: RNAcentral